CCUACGGGGGGCAGCAGUGAGGAAUAUUGGUCAAUGGGCGCGAGCCUGAACCAGCCAAGUAGCGUGAAGGAUGACUGCCCUACGGGUUGUACACUUCUUUUAUAAAGGAAUAAAGUGAGACACGUGUGCCUUUUUGUAUGUACUUUAUGAAUAAGGAUCGGCUAACUCCGUGCCAGCAGCUGCGGUAAUACGGAGGAUCCGAGCGUUAUCAGGAUUUAUUGGGUUUAAAGGGAGCGUAGAUGGGUUGUUAAGUCAGUUGUGAAAGUUUGCGGCUCAACCGUCAAAUUGCAAUUGAUACUGGCAGUCUUGAGUACAGUUGAGGUAGGCAGAAUUCGUGGUGGAGCGGUGAAAUGCUUAGAUAUCACGAAGAACUCCGAUUGCGAAGGCAGCUUACUAAACUGCCACUGACAUUGAUGCUCGAAAGUGUGGGUAUCAAACAGGAUUAGAUACCCUUGUAGUC
This 460-nucleotide ribosomal RNA is filed under the name uncultured bacterium. Its description in RNAcentral is "partial 16S ribosomal RNA". It matches the Rfam family "Bacterial small subunit ribosomal RNA", at positions 338 to 795 of the family's 1533-position model. The record is from RNAcentral.